RNAcentral lists this long non-coding RNA (507 nucleotides) under Bos taurus (domestic cattle). RNAcentral's name for it is "long non-coding RNA NONBTAT019399". The record is from RNAcentral. Lineage: Eukaryota; Metazoa; Chordata; Mammalia; Artiodactyla; Bovidae.
UAUUUAGGAUUACUCAAUGAAAACUAGUUAAUGAUUUUUGAAAAAUUAGAUUUAAAACAACAGCCAAAGUAGUUACAGUCAAAACUGUAUUCAUACUGUAAAUACUUUAGCAGUCUUCAAGACAUACAACUUUUUCACAUAUUUGAGCUCUGCAUAAACAGGUACAAGAUGAAAACUAGCAUUUUCUGUGUGGCUAUAGCUAAGGACUAUGAAUAAGGAAAACUGUGUACUAACCACUGAAAAAGGGACAGCUUCCUAGGUCUUCCUCCCCAGUAAACUUACUCUCUCAUUCUCAACCCUGCUUUUUUCUCUCUUACUCUAGAUUAUAACUAAGCCUACUUGAUUUAAAAGGAACCUCACCAUAGCUGAAAUUAUCACCACUAGCAAAUAUCAAAAUUUUUACAUCCAUCUGGAGGUCACAUGAUCCUCUAUAGCUACAUACAAGUUUGUUCAGCUUCUGUUAAAUUAGCUUUUUGUUUUUGUUUUUUGGCUGGGGGCAACUAUACU